This 466-nucleotide ribosomal RNA is filed under the name uncultured bacterium. RNAcentral describes it as "partial 16S ribosomal RNA". It matches the Rfam family "Bacterial small subunit ribosomal RNA", at positions 28 to 507 of the family's 1533-position model. The record is from RNAcentral.
GAUGAACGCUGGCGGCGUGCUUAACACAUGCAAGUCGAACGAUGAAGCCCAGCUUGCUGGGUGGAUUAGUGGCGAACGGGUGAGUAACACGUGAGUAACCUGCCCUUAACUCUGGGAUAAGCCUGGGAAACUGGGUCUAAUACCGGAUAGGAGCGUCCACCGCAUGGUGGGUGUUGGAAAGAUUUAUCGGUUUUGGAUGGACUCGCGGCCUAUCAGCUUGUUGGUGGGGUAAUGGCUCACCAAGGCGACGACGGGUAGCCGGCCUGAGAGGGUGACCAGCCACACUGGGACUGAGGAACGGCCCAGACUCCUACGGGAGGCAGCAGUGGGGAAUCUUGAACAAUGGGCGCAAGCCUGAUGCAGCGACGCCGCGUGAGGGAUGACGGCCUUCGGGUUGUAAACCUCUUUCAGUAGGGAAGAAUCGUAAGUGACGGUACCUGCAGAAGAAGCACCGGCUAACUACGUG